This 1045-nucleotide long non-coding RNA is filed under the name Anser cygnoides (Swan goose). RNAcentral describes it as "lncRNA (ENSACDG00005008514.1)". The record is from RNAcentral. Lineage: Eukaryota; Metazoa; Chordata; Aves; Anseriformes; Anatidae.
CUCACCCCGAUGGCGUAGCGGAUGACCCCGGCGCGCUCCGCCUCGGGGAGGACGUGGCGGUACUCCAGCGGGUCGCCGUACUUCCGGCCGUCCGUCACCACGAUCAGGAUCCUGCUGGCCCCCGCCCGGCUCCCCCGCCCGGGCCCGAACACCUCCGUCCUACCAGGGCGACCGUCGUCACCCUCGGGUGCCGCCACAUCGCCCUCGGGGUGCCGCCACGUAUCCCUUGGGUCCCACUACGUCACCCUUGGGUGCCACCACAUCACCCUGGGGUCCCACCACAUCAUGAUGGGGUCCCACCACGUCACCCCGGGGUCCCACCACGUCACCCUUGGGGCCACCACAUCACGAUGGGGUCCCACCACGUCACCCUCGGGUCCCACCACAUCACCCUGGGGUCCCACCACAUCACCCUUUGGGCCAUCACAUCAUGAUGGGGUCCCACCACGUCACCCUGGGGUCUCACCACGUCACCCUGGGAUGCCACCAUGUCACCCUGGGGUCCCACCACGUCAUGAUGGGGUCCCACCCCGUCACCCUUGGGUGCCACCCCGUCACCCUUGGGGUCCCACCACGUCAUGAUGGGGUCCCACCACGUGUUCCUUAGGGCAACUACGUCACCCCGGGGUCCCACCACGUCACCCUUGGGGCCACCACGUCACGAUGGGGUCCCACCACGUCACCCUUGGGGCCACCCCGUCACCCUUGGGUGCCACCCCGUCACCCUGGGGUCCCACCACGUCACCCCGGGGUCCCACCACGUCAUGAUGCCGUCCCACCACGUCACCCCGGGCUCCCGCCAUGUGCCCCUCGGGUGCCACCCCGUCACCCCGGGGUGCCACCCCGUCGCCCCGGGGUGCCGCCGCGGGGACCCACAGCACGGUGCGGAUGGCGCUGGCCGUCUGCGUGGUCCCUUUGCUCUGCCGCACGCCGCGGACCUCGGCCUCGCGCCCGGCCGGCGUCAGGCGCUCGAAGGCGGCGAAGUCGAAGUGGAGCCGGGAGUCGGUGGAGAACUGCACCAGGGCGAACUUCGGGGCGGGGGGGG